Molecule: ribosomal RNA, 445 nt
Filed under: uncultured bacterium
Lineage: Bacteria
Description: partial 16S ribosomal RNA
Rfam family: Bacterial small subunit ribosomal RNA
Source: RNAcentral
GUGAGGAAUAUUGGUCAAUGGGCGAGAGCCUGAACCAGCCAAGUCGCGUGAAGGAAGAAGGAUCUAUGGUUCGUAAACUUCUUUUGCAGGGGAAUAAAGUGCAGGACGUGUCCUGUUUUGUAUGUACCCUGAGAAUAAGGAUCGGCUAACUCCGUGCCAGCAGCCGCGGUAAUACGGAGGAUCCGAGCGUUAUCCGGAGUUAUUGGGUUUAAAGGGUGCGUAGGUGGUUUGAUAAGUCAGCGGUGAAAGUUUGCAGCUUAACUGUAAAAAUGCCGUUGAAACUGUCGGACUUGAGUGUAAAUGAGGUAGGCGGAAUGCGUGGUGUAGCGGUGAAAUGCAUAGAUAUCACGCAGAACUCCGAUUGCGAAGGCAGCUUACUAAGCUACAACUGACACUGAAGCACGAAAGCGUGGGGAUCAAACAGGAUUAGAUACCCCAGUAGUCC